CCUCCUUUCUAAGGAAACCAAUAAAAUCAAUCAUCUUCAGUUUUGAAAGACUUAGGCAACUAAGUUUUUCUUCGUGACUUCACGAAGGGCCUAUAGCUCAGUUGGUUAGAGCACACGCCUGAUAAGCGUGAGGUCGGUGGUUCAAGUCCAUUUAGGCCCACCAGAGUUAUAGGUUUCGUAAGAACACAAAUUCUUUGAAAAUUAGGUAAAUAAUAGUUAUUUAUCCGGAACAUUAAAGGAA
This 241-nucleotide unclassified non-coding RNA is filed under the name Yazd(Iran) parsley witches'-broom phytoplasma. RNAcentral describes it as "partial 16S-23S ribosomal RNA intergenic spacer". The stretch from base 87 to 160 matches the Rfam family "tRNA". RNAcentral also lists the same sequence under 2 other names. Lineage: Bacteria; Bacillati; Mycoplasmatota; Mollicutes; Acholeplasmatales; Acholeplasmataceae. The record is from RNAcentral.